GUGGGGAAUAUUGGACAAUGGGCGAAAGCCUGAUCCAGCCAUGCCGCGUGUGUGAAGAAGGUCUUCGGAUUGUAAAGCACUUUAAGUUGGGAGGAAGGGCAGUAAGUUAAUACCUUGCUGUUUUGACGUUACCGACAGAAUAAGCACCGGCUAACUUCGUGCCAGCAGCCGCGGUAAUACGAAGGGUGCAAGCGUUAAUCGGAAUUACUGGGCGUAAAGCGCGCGUAGGUGGUUUUGUAAGUGGGAGGUGAAAUCCCCGGGCUCAACCUGGGAACUGCCUCAAAAACUGCAUGACUAGAGUACGGUAGAGGGUAGUGGAAUUUCCUGUGUAGCGGUGAAAUGCGUAGAUAUAGGAAGGAACACCAGUGGCGAAGGCGACUACCUGGACUGAUACUGACACUGAGGUGCGAAAGCGUGGGGAGCAAACAGGAUUAGAAACCCUAGUAGUCC
Molecule: ribosomal RNA, 450 nt
Filed under: uncultured bacterium
Lineage: Bacteria
Description: bacterial SSU rRNA
Rfam family: Bacterial small subunit ribosomal RNA
Source: RNAcentral